RNAcentral lists this ribosomal RNA (310 nucleotides) under uncultured eukaryote. Its description in RNAcentral is "partial Bacterial large subunit ribosomal RNA". It matches the Rfam family "Bacterial large subunit ribosomal RNA", at positions 1642 to 1956 of the family's 2925-position model. The record is from RNAcentral.
CCGUACCCGAAACCGACACAGGUGGUCAGGUAGAGUAUACCAAGGCGCUUGAGAGAAGUGUCCUGAAGGAACUCGGCAAAUUGCCUCCGUACCUUCGGAAGAAGGAGGCCCCAACUAAGCGCAAGCUCUGUUGGGGGGCACAGGCCAGGGGGUAGCGACUGUUUAGCAAAAACACAGGACUCUGCUAAGUCGGCUUCAAGACGACGUAUAGGGCCUGACGCCUGCCCGGUGCCUGAAGGUUAAGUGGAGGGGUGCAAGCUCUGAAAUGAAGCCCAGGUAAACGGCGGCCGUAACAAUAACGGUCCUAAGG